CCCUAUUAUAAUUAAUAUAAAUUUAAUUUUAAGUAGUAAAUGGUUUGGGCAGGAAACUUAAAGAAUUUGGCGGUGUAUAUUCUAAUUAGAGGAAUAUGUUUUUUAAUUGAUAAUCCACACUUAUUUUACUUAAAAUAAUUUAUUUUGUAUAUCUCCGUCUUUAAAAAAUUUUUUAAAAUAUUUUUUGGAAUUUGUAGUAUAAAAAAAGUCAGGUCAAGGUGCAGAUUAUGUUUAAGUUAAAAUGUAUUACAUUAAAUUUAUUUAUGGAAUAAAAAUGAAAUGUUUUUAUGAAAUUGGAUUUAUAAGUAAAAUUUUUUUUAUAAUAAUUAUUUGAAUAAUGUAAAUAUAUAUGCACACAUC
Molecule: ribosomal RNA, 360 nt
Filed under: Clematoscenea sp. KY-2004
Lineage: Eukaryota; Metazoa; Arthropoda; Insecta; Psocodea; Psocidae
Description: partial 12S ribosomal RNA
Source: RNAcentral